AACGAACGCUGGCGGCAUGCCUAACACAUGCAAGUCGAACGAGACCUUCGGGUCUAGUGGCGCACGGGUGCGUAACGCGUGGGAACCUGCCCUUAGGUUCGGAAUAACUCCCCGAAAGGGGUGCUAAUACCGGAUAAUGUCUUCGGACCAAAGAUUUAUCGCCUUUGGAUGGGCCCGCGUUGGAUUAGCUAGUUGGUAGGGUAAAAGCCUACCAAGGCGACGAUCCAUAGCUGGUCUGAGAGGAUGAUCAGCCACACUGGGACUGAGACACGGCCCAGAAUGCUACGGGAGGCAGCAGUGGGGAAUAUUGGACAAUGGGCGAAAGCCUGAUCCAGCAAUGCCGCGUGAGUGAUGAAGGCCUUAGGGUUGUAAAGCUCUUUUACCCGGGAUGAUAAUGACAGUACCGGGAGAAUAAGCUCCGGCUAACUCCGUG
Molecule: ribosomal RNA, 433 nt
Filed under: uncultured bacterium
Lineage: Bacteria
Description: partial 16S ribosomal RNA
Rfam family: Bacterial small subunit ribosomal RNA
Source: RNAcentral